Molecule: ribosomal RNA, 302 nt
Filed under: uncultured bacterium
Lineage: Bacteria
Description: partial 16S ribosomal RNA
Rfam family: Bacterial small subunit ribosomal RNA
Source: RNAcentral
GCAGUCGCCGCGGUAAUACGGAGGGAGCUAGCGUUGUUCGGAAUCACUGGGCGUAAAGCGCACGUAGGCGGCUAUUCAAGUCAGGGGUGAAAGCCCGGGGCUCAACCCCGGAACUGCCUUUGAAACUAGAUAGCUUGAAUCUUGGAGAGGCGAGUGGAAUUCCGAGUGUAGAGGUGAAAUUCGUAGAUAUUCGGAAGAACACCAGUGGCGAAGGCGACUCGCUGGACAAGUAUUGACGCUGAGGUGCGAAAGCGUGGGGAGCAAACAGGAUUAGAUACCCCUGUAGUCCCUGUCUCUUAUAC